AUGUUUUUUUUUUUUUUUCACCCCCACCAGGGAAAUCAUCUUUUGGGAACUUAUCUAAGAAGAACUUCUUAUGAUGGAGUUUCGCUCUUGUUGCCCAGGCUGGAGUGCAGUGGCAUGAUUUCAGCUCACCGCGACCUCUGCUGCUCGGGUUCAAGCGAUUCUCCUGCCGCAGGCUCCCAAGUAGCUGGGAUUACAGGCAUGUGACAACAAGCCUGGCUAAUUUUUGUAUUUUUAUUAGAGACGGGUUUCCUCCAUGUUGGUCAAGCUGGUCUGGAAGUCCUGACCUCAGGUGAUCCACCCGCGUUGGCCUCCCAAAGUGCUAGGAUUACAAGUGUGAGUCACAGUGCCUGGCCUAUUAAUAUUUAAUUUUAAAUGACAUUAUCUAUUUACAAUUAGCAAGACAAGCCAAUCAGCAAACUUAUUUUGAAUUAGACAUUCUCUUUGCAUUCUUUCCUUGUAUUGCAGUGUUUUUUUCUUAAAUACCUAUUUUGUCAAGACAUAUAUAAUUUCCCUAAGAUUCUGUGACCUUUAUCCGUUUAUGUAGUUUUGGUUGUAGAGUUGAGUAGAAAAAUGUUCAACAAUAGACCUUAGUGUGAAGUUUUCCUCAAAAAUUCUUGAUUGUAUGAAACUUUCUCUUGAAUGAUUUCUUCAGGAAACCUUUAUGAGUACAAAAUUUCCUGGUACUUUGAAGGCCUAUAUUUUUCUAUAACUAUUAUAGAAGAAAAGUAAUUCUGCUGGAUAUGGAAUCCUAUUAUUAUUAUUUUUUUCAUUAAGAAACUUAAAUAUGGCUGGGCACAGUGGCUCACACCUGUAAUCCCAGCACUUUGGGAGGCCAAGGCAGGCAGAUCACGAGGUCAGGAGAUCGAGACCAUCCUGGCUAACAUGGUGAAACCCCAUCUCUACUAAAAAUACAAACAUUAGCCGGGCAUGGUGGUGCGUGCCUGUAACCCUAGCUACCCAGGCGGCUGGGACAGGAGAAUCACUUGACCCAGGGAGUCAGAAGUUGCAGUGAACCUUGCCAGCCUGUUGACAGAGGGACACUCCCUUUCAAAAAAAAAAAAAAGGAACUUUAAUAUAUGGUUCAAUUGUGUUUUGUUAAGAGGUGCUGUGGAUAGAUGAUUUUCUUUACCUUUCUUGGAACUAUAUGAUUUUUGUAUAAUGUCCACAGAUUUUAAUUUUUUUAUAUUUACGGUGCAGUUAUUUUCCCCAGAAUAUGUUUUGGUUUUGACAAUCCUAGACUGAUUUUUCCAGGUAUACAAUGUUCAUAUUCUACACAUAUAUUCAAAUGCUUCUUAAUUUGGGGAAUAUUUUAUGUGAUUGUAUAUUUUACUAUUUGUUCUAUUCCAUUAUUUUGGGUUUCUUGACGAUGACCUCCAAUCAUGUAUUCAUUGGACCUUCUUUGUUUUCUUAAUUGAUUAUAUCUUUUUUUAAAAUUUUACUCUCCAUUUCUAUUUGAUUGUUUUCAUAUUUCUCCCUUUCCUUUCAUUAUUGUUACUUAAAAUAUUUCUAUUCUUAUUUAUGUUGUUUCUUAAUGAUGUGUAUUUUUUUUUCCCCCCCAUGAACUCCUGUGCUUAAGCAAUCUUCCUGCCUUGGUGUCCCAAAGUUCUGAGAUUAUAUGGGUGAGCCACCAUACUCAGCCAUGUCUUCUUUUCAUUUCUAAAAUUAUCUAUCAAUCUAUCUAUAUUUAUGUUUUUUUGAGCUUCAUCAUCUCUUACUAUUAUUUACCCACUAUUAUUCAAAAAUAUUAUUAUUUUCACAUUUUUAAUUUC
This 1769-nucleotide long non-coding RNA is filed under the name Papio anubis (olive baboon). RNAcentral describes it as "lncRNA (ENSPANG00000044913.1)". The record is from RNAcentral. Lineage: Eukaryota; Metazoa; Chordata; Mammalia; Primates; Cercopithecidae.